GACGAACGCUGGCGGCGUGCUUAACACAUGCAAGUCGAACGGAAAGGCCCUGCUUUUGUGGGGUGCUCGAGUGGCGAACGGGUGAGUAACACGUGAGUAACCUGCCCUUGACUUUGGGAUAACUUCAAGAAACUGGGGCUAAUACCGGAUAGGAGCUCCUGCUGCAUGGUGAGGGUUGGAAAGUUUCGGCGGUUGGGGAUGGACUCGCGGCUUAUCAGCUUGUUGGUGGGGUAGUGGCUUACCAAGGCUUUGACGGGUAGCCGGCCUGGGAGGGUGACCGGCCACAUUGGGACUGAGAGACGGCCCAGACGCCUACGGGAGGCAGCAGUGGGGAAUAUUGCACAAUGGGCGGAAGCCUGAUGCAGCAACACCGCGUGCGGGAUGACGGCCUUCGGGUUGUAAACCGCUUUCGCCUGUGACGAAGCGUGAGUGACGGUAAUGGGUAAAGAAGCACCGGCUAACUACGUG
Molecule: ribosomal RNA, 468 nt
Filed under: uncultured bacterium
Lineage: Bacteria
Description: partial 16S ribosomal RNA
Rfam family: Bacterial small subunit ribosomal RNA
Source: RNAcentral